Molecule: ribosomal RNA, 494 nt
Filed under: uncultured bacterium
Lineage: Bacteria
Description: partial 16S ribosomal RNA
Rfam family: Bacterial small subunit ribosomal RNA
Source: RNAcentral
GACGAACGCUGGCGGCGCGCUUAACACAUGCAAGUCGAACGGAAAGGCCUGCUUUCCCUUGUGGCUUGCGGGUACCCGAUUGGCAACCGGGGGAGUAAUCGGGGGGUGAUCUCCCCCCAACUUGGGUAUAAGCCUGGGAAACUGGGUCUAAUUCCCGAUAGGCCUGCAGGGGGGUGCCGGUGGUGGAAAACGAUUUUCUAGUGGUGGGGGAUGAGCUCGCGGCCUAUCAGCUUGUUGGUGGGGUAAUGGCCUACCAAGGCGGCGACGGGUAGCCGGCCUGAGAGGGUGGACGGCCACAUUGGGACUGAGAUGCGGCCCAGACUCCUACGGGAGGCAGCAGUGGGGAAUAUUGCACGAUGGGCGGAAGCCUGAUGCAGCGACGCCGCGUGGGGGAUGACGGCCUUCGGGUUGUAAGCUCCUUUCGACCGCGAGGAAGCCACCUGGUUGGAAGGGUGGUGACGGUAGUGGUAGAAGAAGCACCGGCUAACUACGUG